UGGUGUAGCUGGNCCUAAUUAACUUGGGGGCAUGUGCACACCUUUCUCUUUCAUCCCAUACACACCUGUGCACCUGUGAGACAGAUGUUUUCUAGGGGGGAAGGAACUUUAUUGGACCUACUACUCCUUGAACUCUCUGACUACUUAAACUAUAUAAACUCAAUUUAUUUUAAGAUGGAUGUGAUGGAUGUAACACAUCUAAUACUAUGUUUCAACAACGCUUCUCUUGGCUCUCUCAUCGAUGAAGAACGCAACAAACUGCAAUAAGUGGUGUGAAUUGAAUAAUUCACUGAAUCAUCGCUUCUUUGGACCCCCCUUCCCCUCGUUGUUAUUCCGAGGAUCCUGCCUGUAUUAGUAUUAUGACUUCUUCAACUGCCCCUGCUUUGGACCGCAGGUUCUUCUUCCUUCACACCUGCUCCUCUUUGCGUCUUACCUGGAUCUCCUCGUUAUGCUUGGUCCCGCUCACCGUGAUAAGAAUCUAUCCCCGAGGACUCUGNAACUGGUGGCCACGGAAAAUGCAAAUGAACCGUUUCUAAUAGCCCUUUAAUUUGAAAAUAUUUUUAUGAUCUC
RNAcentral lists this unclassified non-coding RNA (570 nucleotides) under Rhizoctonia solani. RNAcentral describes it as "sequence contains ITS1, 5.8S rRNA gene and ITS2". The stretch from base 207 to 360 matches the Rfam family "5.8S ribosomal RNA". The record is from RNAcentral. Lineage: Eukaryota; Fungi; Basidiomycota; Agaricomycetes; Cantharellales; Ceratobasidiaceae.